CGCAGCAGGCGCGAAAACUUUACAAUGCAGGAAACUGUGAUAAGGGGACUCCGAGUGCCGGUAUACGCGGGCUGUCCAGGUGUUUAAAACUCAUCUGAAGAAAGGGCCGGGCAAGACCG
RNAcentral lists this ribosomal RNA (119 nucleotides) under uncultured Methanogenium sp. Its description in RNAcentral is "partial 16S ribosomal RNA". It matches the Rfam family "Archaeal small subunit ribosomal RNA", at positions 331 to 454 of the family's 1478-position model. Lineage: Archaea; Methanobacteriati; Methanobacteriota; Methanomicrobia; Methanomicrobiales; Methanomicrobiaceae. The record is from RNAcentral.